Molecule: ribosomal RNA, 464 nt
Filed under: uncultured Desulfobulbus sp.
Lineage: Bacteria; Pseudomonadati; Thermodesulfobacteriota; Desulfobulbia; Desulfobulbales; Desulfobulbaceae
Description: bacterial SSU rRNA
Rfam family: Bacterial small subunit ribosomal RNA
Source: RNAcentral
CACAAGCGGUGGAGUAUGUGGUUUAAUUCGAUGCAACGCGAAGAACCUUACCUGGUCUUGACAUCCCGGAGACCCUUAGGAAACUAGGGGGUGCUUCCAUCUGGAAGAAUCUGGAGACAGGUGCUGCAUGGCUGUCGUCAGCUCGUGUCGUGAGAUGUUGGGUUAAGUCCCGCAACGAGCGCAACCCUUGCCUUUAGUUGCCAGCAGUUCGGCUGGGCACUCUAAAGGGACUGCCGGUGUUAAACCGGAGGAAGGUGGGGAUGACGUCAAGUCCUCAUGGCCUUUAUGACCAGGGCUACACACGUACUACAAUGGCCGAUACAAAGGGCAGCGACACUGCGAGGUGAAGCCAAUCCCGUAAAAUCGGUCUCAGUCCGGAUUGGAGUCUGCAACUCGACUCCAUGAAGUCGGAAUCGCUAGUAAUCGUGGAUCAGCAUGCCACGGUGAAUACGUUCCCGGGCCUU